Molecule: ribosomal RNA, 482 nt
Filed under: uncultured Nitrospira sp.
Lineage: Bacteria; Pseudomonadati; Nitrospirota; Nitrospiria; Nitrospirales; Nitrospiraceae
Description: bacterial SSU rRNA
Rfam family: Bacterial small subunit ribosomal RNA
Source: RNAcentral
AGAGUUUGAUCCUGGCUCAGAACGAACGCUGGCGGCGCGCCUAAUACAUGCAAGUCGAGCGAGAAGACGUAGCAAUACGUUUGUAAAGCGGCGAACGGGUGAGGAAUACAUGGGUAACCUACCCUCGAGUGGGGAAUAACUAGCCGAAAGGUUAGCUAAUACCGCAUACGACUCUCGGUCUGCGGAUCGAGAGGGAAAGCGAUACCGUGGGUAUCGCGCUCAUGGAUGGGCUCAUGUCCUAUCAGCUUGUUGGUGAGGUAACGGCUCACCAAGGCUUCGACGGGUAGCUGGUCUGAGAGGACGAUCAGCCACACUGGCACUGCGACACGGGCCAGACUCCUACGGGAGGCAGCAGUAAGGAAUAUUGCGCAAUGGGCGACAGCCUGACGCAGCGACGCCGCGUGGGGGAUGAAGGUCUUCGGAUUGUAAACCCCUUUCGGCAGGGAAGAUGGAACGGGUAACCGUUCGGACGGUACCUGCAG